This 497-nucleotide ribosomal RNA is filed under the name uncultured bacterium. RNAcentral describes it as "partial 16S ribosomal RNA". It matches the Rfam family "Bacterial small subunit ribosomal RNA", at positions 28 to 507 of the family's 1533-position model. The record is from RNAcentral.
GAUGAACGCUGGCGGCGUGCCUAAUACAUGCAAGUCGAGCGAAAGGACGAGAAGCUUGUUUCCCUGCUGUUAGCGGCGGACGGGUGAGUAACACGUGGAUAACCUACUUAUAUGUCUGGGAUAACUUCGGGAAACAGGUGAUAAUAACGGCUAAUAUUUUGUACCGGAUGGUUCAAAAGUGAUAGACGGCUUUGGUGUCACUUAUAGCUGGUUCCGCGCUGGAUUAGCUAGUUGGUAAGGUAACGGCUUACCAAGGCGACGAUGCGUAGCUGACCUGAGAGGGUGAUCAGCCACACUGGAAAUGAGACACGGUCCAGAAUCCUAAGGGAGGCAGCAGUGGGGAAUAUUGGCCAAUGGGGGGAAGCCUGAUCCAGCCAUACCGCGUGGGUGAAGAAGGCCUUCCGGUUGUAAAGCCCUUUUGUUGGGGAAGAAAAGCAGUAGGUUAAUACCCCGCUGUUCUGACGGUACCCAAAGAAUAAGCACCGGCUAAAUUCGUG